AUUGAACGCUGGCGGCAGGCCUAACACAUGCAAGUCGAACGGUAACAGGAAACAGCUUGCUGUUUCGCUGACGAGUGGCGGACGGGUGAGUAAUGUCUGGGAAACUGCCUGAUGGAGGGGGAUAACUACUGGAAACGGUAGCUAAUACCGCAUAACGUCGCAAGACCAAAGAGGGGGACCUUCGGGCCUCUUGCCAUCGGAUGUGCCCAGAUGGGAUUAGCUAGUAGGUGGGGUAACGGCUCACCUAGGCGACGAUCCCUAGCUGGUCUGAGAGGAUGACCAGCCACACUGGAACUGAGACACGGUCCAGACUCCUACGGGAGGCAGCAGUGGGGAAUAUUGCACAAUGGGCGCAAGCCUGAUGCAGCCAUGCCGCGUGUAUGAAGAAGGCCUUCGGGUUGUAAAGUACUUUCAGCGGGGAGGAAGGGAGUAAAGUUAAUACCUUGACUCAUUCACGUUACCCGCAGAAGAAGCACCGGCUAACUCCGUG
This 490-nucleotide ribosomal RNA is filed under the name uncultured bacterium. Its description in RNAcentral is "partial 16S ribosomal RNA". It matches the Rfam family "Bacterial small subunit ribosomal RNA", at positions 30 to 507 of the family's 1533-position model. The record is from RNAcentral.